UGUGAAUUGCAGAACACAUUGAACAUCGACAUCUUGAACGCACAUGGCGGCCUCGGGUCCAUCCCGAGGCCACGCCCGUCUGAGGGUCG
Molecule: ribosomal RNA, 89 nt
Filed under: Monacha parumcincta
Lineage: Eukaryota; Metazoa; Mollusca; Gastropoda; Stylommatophora; Hygromiidae
Also listed under: 23 other names
Description: partial 5.8S ribosomal RNA
Rfam family: 5.8S ribosomal RNA
About the family: 5.8S ribosomal RNA (5.8S rRNA) is a component of the large subunit of the eukaryotic ribosome. It is transcribed by RNA polymerase I as part of the 45S precursor that also contains 18S and 28S rRNA.
Source: RNAcentral